Schistosoma rodhaini is the source of this 73-nucleotide non-coding RNA. Lineage: Eukaryota; Metazoa; Platyhelminthes; Trematoda; Strigeidida; Schistosomatidae. The record is from Rfam.
GCCUCCAUAGCUCAGUGGUUAGAUCACUGGUCUAGCAAACCAGGGGUCGAGAGUUCAAUUCACCCUGGAGGCA